This 255-nucleotide ribosomal RNA is filed under the name uncultured bacterium. RNAcentral describes it as "partial 16S ribosomal RNA". It matches the Rfam family "Bacterial small subunit ribosomal RNA", at positions 524 to 775 of the family's 1533-position model. The record is from RNAcentral.
UACGAAGGGGGCUAGCGUUGUUCGGAAUUACUGGCGUAAAGCGUGCGCAGGCGGUUCGCUAAGACCGAUGUGAAAUCCCGGGCUUAACCUCGGGAACUGCAUUGGUGACUGGCGGGCUAGAGUAUGGCAGAGGGGGUAGGAAUUCCACGUGUAGCAGUGAAAUGCGUAGAGAUGUGGAGGAAUACCGAUGGCGAAGGCAGCCCCCCUGGGCCAAUACGUGACGCUCAUGCACGAAAGCGUGGGGGGAGCAAACAG